UGGGGAAUUUUGGACAAUGGGCGCAAGCCUGAUCCAGCAAUGCCGCGUGCAGGAUGAAGGCCUUCGGGUUGUAAACUGCUUUUGUACGGAACGAAACGGCUCUUUCUAAUAAAGAGGGCUAAUGACGGUAUCGUAAGAAUAAGCACCGGCUAACUACGUGCCAGCAGCCGCGGUAAUACGUAAGGUGCAAGCGUUAAUCGGAAUUACUGGGCGUAAAGCGUGCGCAGGCGGUUUUGUAAGUCUGAUGUGAAAUCCCCGGGCUCAACCUGGGAAUUGCCUUUGUGACUGCAAGGCUGGAGUGCGGAAGAGGGGGAUGGAAUUCCGCGUGUAGCAGUGAAAUGCGUAGAUAUGCGGAGGAACACCGAUGGCGAAGGCAAUCCCCUGGGCCUGCACUGACGCUCAUGCACGAAAGCGUGGGGAGCAAACA
This 427-nucleotide ribosomal RNA is filed under the name uncultured bacterium. Its description in RNAcentral is "bacterial SSU rRNA". It matches the Rfam family "Bacterial small subunit ribosomal RNA", at positions 355 to 774 of the family's 1533-position model. The record is from RNAcentral.